This 1300-nucleotide long non-coding RNA is filed under the name Heterocephalus glaber (naked mole-rat). Its description in RNAcentral is "lncRNA (ENSHGLG00000048313.1)". The record is from RNAcentral. Lineage: Eukaryota; Metazoa; Chordata; Mammalia; Rodentia; Bathyergidae.
UUCUGCCUUUGUGUCUAUCCUUGACCUCCACUUGGGGCUGCAUGGACAAAGUGGCCAUGGAGAGCAUACCCCUACUGGGCUUCACCAUCGCGCCAGGGAGGGAGGAGGGCAGCAGCGACCCAGGCCCCAUCUUCCAUCUUUACCACAAGAAAACGCUUUUCUACAGCUUCAAGGCUGAGGAUGCCAGUGCUGCCCAGAGGUGGAUGGAGGCCAUGGAGGACGCCAGCGUGUUAUAGCAGUCGCCCAGUGUGGAACUGAAGCAAGUUCAUGGCUAGACAGGUGACCCUGCCAGGAGCCACACCUCAUCCCAGCCCACCUGGAGCAUGGCCGGGGACUGGAGGAGGAUCGCCAGACCUGGCUUCUGUUGUCAUAUUUCCCAGCCCAUCGUGAAUUAUUUUCUUACCCAGAAGUGAGCUAAAAUGGAGUAACAUGAAGAUGUGGAAACCAGUAGCAACUUCAGGUAGAAACACAGGCUUUCAGUAGAAACAGCUUUUCCGGUUUGUCCUCAAAGUAGAUUCAUCACCUUUCAUGGUGGCCACUGGGCCUCAGGUGACGUAAGUGGCAGCAGUGACAGCUGCUGUCCUCAGAAGCACUUUAUCGUCCUGCUGAGCUGCAGCCUUCAGUUCCAAGUUUCCUAAGCCUUUACUGCAUCCCAGGGACACCAAGCCACCCAGGUCACUGUCCUCCAUCCAGCAAGGAUGAAGCAGGAGGAUCUUCCUCCAGCUGAGCAUGGUGGGGCUCCCUCUGUCUCUCCAUGGCAUCCUCCUCGGAAGAUGGCAUCAGCUCUAAUUUAUUGCGUGCCUUUCUGCGCCUGCCACUUUCAUGGGCAAUGCGAGUUUACGAACCUGUCCUUCUGCAGAUACACUAUUUCCCAAAAGAAGUGAAAAAAGGAGAGAAGAUGGGACUUCAGAAGGUGAACAGUAGUGGCUGGAAGAAGAGACGCUACGCCCUGGGGCUGGGUCCCUGCCAAUGUUGCUGUUGGGUUCUGAGGGCACCGAUGGCCAGGGCAGCAUCCCCGGCAGGAAUGUGGCCACAGGCAGCCUCUCGCUGCAGACAUUGUAAAGCACCACUAUCUGAGGACUACUUAUUUACAUUCAAUAUCUCCAGGGAAAUGUUUUUUUCUAGUUUGCAGUUCUUUUAAAACGUUUACAUUAAACAUGUCCUGAUUCAAAGCAGGGAGCAGACAGAUCUUCUGUUAAUGCCUGAGGGCUCAUUUCCGUUGGAAUCACCUCACGCCCAGUCAGUGGCCCCAUCUGCAGCUUCGUCUCCUGCAGUUUUAGCCAUGCAGGGUCAACUGUGG